AUACUGCAGCUUCCUCUGUUCCUGUGUAAGUAUUUGCUGCUAGAAACAGGUAAGAUUUUCUCAGGUCAUGUGUGUUUUUGUGUGAGAUAGAAAGGGAGAGAGAUUUUCAGCUAAGAGUCAUCCACAGUGGCUGAGGAAACAUUGUUCUCUAGCCAGAUGCAGGAAUCAAAUUUAUUCCAUCAGCUCAAAAAAACCCAACCACAUUACAGGCCAACUUCGUGGGAUCUCUAGGGAACUACGCAUUCAGAACAGGCUUCCCUUAUCUCUCUGCUGCACCCUGGGGAUUUAUCAGGAUGUGUCAGCUGUUUCACACAAGCUUCUCACAUUCUCCACCAGCAGCAGAUGCUUCUUGCUCCAGAGGGAAACUAACUCCGAACGGGUGGAAGAUGCGUCUCCUCUGGGGGUCCCUUUUCCUCAGCCUUCUCCCCCUCGUCACUCCCAGCUGCCCUCCACACUGCCAGUGCGCCCAGAGCAUCAUCAACUGCAUGGCCACAGAACUCACGGACGACACCAUGCCCACCUCCUUCCGGCCCUCGACCACCAUCCUCUACCUCAACAGCAACUAUCUCACCUUCAUCCCCAACGGGCUCUUUGACGACCUGAAGAGCCUUCAGAUGGUCCACCUGCGGCAGAACCCCUGGCAUUGUGACUGCAACAUCCUCUACCUCCGGGCUUGGCUCCAGUGGCAGCAGAAUCGGACCUUGUACCGGGACGUAGUGUGCAGUUCUCCUUCUCACCUCCAGGGCAGGAUCAUCAGCUACUUGUCGGAGGACGAGAUCGUCACUACGUGCCCCUUCUGGUACUGCGGGGUGGCCUUCAUGGUCCAGAUCAGCCUUUUUGUCUUUAUCUUCGUGCAGGCCAUCCUGCUUGGCUUCAUCAUUGCUCACCUGUGCCGGUUCCACACGAUAGUCAAGCACGUCCGGAGGAGAACCGCCGAGCUCUACGAGAACGCAGAGCUGUGGGCGCCUGCUUCCUAGAAGAGGGGUUCCCAACCUGUGGUCCGCAGGCCUCUGGUGGUCCAUGGGGGUACUGCAGGUGGUCUGUGGAGAAUUGGCCAGCUUCCAGAAAGGCAACAUUAGAAGAAGAAGAAGAAGAAGAAGAAGAAGAAGAAGAAGAAGAAGAAGAAGAAGAAGAAGAAGAAGAAGAAGAAGAAGAAGAAGAAGAAAAGGAAAAGUGGUAGAUCUGUGUCUGUGUCUGUGUCUGUGUCUGUCUCUCUCUCUCUCUCUUCUUGUGCAAACUCUGUUCUCUGCAUUCUCUGUUCUCUCUCAGCCUAACCUACUUCACAGGGUUGUUGUGAGGAGAAACUCAAGUAUGUAGUACGCCGCUCUGGGCUCCUUGGAGGAAGAGUGGGAUAUAAAUGUAAAAUAAUAAUAAUAAUAAUUCCAAAAUUCAUGCUGGAAGAUAACUAGAUUCAAAUCCAAGGCAUUAUAGAACAACAGAAUAAUAAUUGAGCAGAACAAGGGAAAUGCAGCAAUAUGUGUAUUUAUAAUUAAAAAAUAGUAUCUGCCAUCUCGUGGUCCAAGUAUCUUCAUCCAGAUUGGCAGCUGAGACCCUGGUUGGUUGUAAUUGAGCCGUGUGUGUGUACACACGCACAUACUUUGACCUUGUCCACAACCACAAGAUGAAGUGGUGAUGGCCACCAGUUGGGUGGCUCUGAAACGGGGUCCGGCCAGUUCAAGGAGGACAAGGUCUAUCGAUGGCUACUAGUCUUGAUGGCGAUAGGCCACCUCCAGAUUCAGAGGCAUGAUGCUUCUGAAUAUGCAAUGCAGGAGAUCAACAGCAAGAGCGAGGUCAUGGCUUUAUCUUCAGCUGAUGGACUUCCCAAACGCACCUGUUGGGCCACUGUGGGAAACAGGAUACUGGACUAGAUAGGCCUGAUCCAGCAAGACUCUUCUUAUGCUGCAGGGUGAAAUAUACAGGGUAACAUUCAGAAUGGAGCCCAGCACGGCUCUUCAGGUUACUUACUGAAACCUUGGUUCCACAAGGUCCUCAGCUAGCUACAAUGAGACCCAGUAAACUCGGGGAGCCCCUGCCCUGAACCACCCGCCUUGUCUGUAGAUGUGGUUCCCACUCCAGGUUCAGAAUCAGGGUACCUCUGAAUCCCAGUUACAGAGCAACAGCAACGGGAAAUGGGGCAGGCCUUCAGCUCCUGCUUGUGGGCUUCCCUGAGGCAUCGGGUGGGCCACUGUGGGCCACAAGUUGUUGGCCUAGAUAGACCUUGUUCUACUGUUCUUAAUAGUAUUGUGUGAGACCCUUGCCCAAAGUUGGCAGGAGGGCCUAAGUCGGUGCAUCAGUCACCUUGCAGUAGAAGGCCUAAUCUUUGAGCAGUUCCUCAAAGGCCCAAUAUUACGAGGCUGGAUUGCCAGGAUGGAGUUCCCAUGCCUUGCACUAACCUCAUAUUUCAUAACUGUGUCAAGUGUGAAGGUGCCAGACAGGACAGAUAAAUCUUGCGUCUUCUUCCUUCUGUCAGGUUUUGAUGAUGAUAUUACCACAAACGUUGCAAAAUCUUGUGCCAGGGCUUAUACGACCAGGAAGCUGUUGACUAAAUUACCCAACAAGUGUUGUUUGGGGGACGGGUAAUAGUUGUCUCAAAGAUGAUAGAUUUAUUGAUUUCUUAGUUUUGUUUUACGAUCUCAAGAGUAUAAGAUAUUAUUCUAUGUAUUAAUUCAUUUUGUCUUUAUUAGAUACUUUCUUGUUUUGUAUUAUUCACUUUGUGCUGUUC
Hemicordylus capensis (graceful crag lizard) is the source of this 2722-nucleotide RNA transcript. It is a transcript of the gene named glycoprotein Ib platelet subunit beta, with no coding region annotated. The record is from RefSeq and is a predicted model, not a curated record. NCBI's taxonomy places the organism in Eukaryota, Metazoa, Chordata, Lepidosauria, Squamata, Cordylidae. The transcript is spliced from 3 exons.